GGAAUCUUGCACAAUGGGGGCAACCCUGAUGCAGCGACGCCGCGUGAGCGAUGAAGCCCUUCGGGGUGUAAAGCUCUUUCGGCCAGAACGAUAAUGACGGUACUGGAAGAAGAAGCUGCGGCUAACUACGUGCCAGCAGCCGCGGUAAUACGUAGGCAGCGAGCGUUGUUCGGAGUUACUGGGCGUAAAGCGUGCGUAGGCGGUUUUCUAAGUUUGGUGUGAAAUCUCCCGGCUCAACUGGGAGGGUGCGCCGAAGACUGGGAAGCUGGAGUAUGGGAGAGGUAGGCGGAAUUCCUGGUGUAGCGGUGAAAUGCGUAGAUAUCAGGAGGAACACCAGCGGUGUAGACGGCUUACCGGACCAUGACUGACGCUGAGGCACGAAAGCGUGGGGAGCAAAA
This 398-nucleotide ribosomal RNA is filed under the name uncultured bacterium. Its description in RNAcentral is "bacterial SSU rRNA". It matches the Rfam family "Bacterial small subunit ribosomal RNA", at positions 358 to 773 of the family's 1533-position model. The record is from RNAcentral.